Molecule: non-coding RNA, 100 nt
Organism: Halobacterium sp. DL1
Lineage: Archaea; Methanobacteriati; Methanobacteriota; Halobacteria; Halobacteriales; Halobacteriaceae
Source: Rfam
CUGAAGGGCGCGUUCGGGUCAAUUGCGGCAUGCAACACCCGAUCUCCCUCCACCAGCCUCCCGGUAUGGAGGUUGUGGAGGGGGAGCGCGUGACCAUCAG